AAAAAGGUUGUAUUUAUUGAGCCCGCUACCUGAGUUACGCGGAGAGGUUUUUUUUCUUUCGACAAUGGGAUAUGUUUUUACACCAUUUACCGAUUGUUUCCAUAAACCUCCAACAGAUGGAGUUAGAUAUACUAGAAUUACAUAAUUCAUUUUACACUUGUACUGUAAACAGUUUGGUUGUAAAAGUUUAGCAUUUGAUCAUAUUCAUAUGUAGGUUUAGUUAGCAACAAAUCGGGAUUGGUUUUGUUGGUAUUAGUCAGCAAACUUGUUUUUUUGAAUUAUGAAUUUAGAAUUAUGUAAAUAAUGGUAAGUUUUUAAUAAUAAUACAUAGCUUUAAUCCGUUCAAAAAGUUUUUUCUUAAUACAUACAGUCCGUUUACCACGACAUCGUUUGGAACUAUAUCAGUCAUAGUGACCAAAAUCAAAGGUCCCGGCUGAAUUCUAUGAAUUAGAUACUGAAUAACAACGUCAGCAGCUGUUACUACUAUUGGUUUUUACGACCAGAUAUGCGUAGUCCCUUCGAUGUCGUAAUAACAGAUUUUGACUGUAUUAAUUCACAGGCGGGAGUCGCUGUUCCAUGUGUUUAAUGUUAAUUCAUAUAUAAAUUGGCUGCGUUUCUUUAACAACUUUUGAAAAACUGAUUUAUGAGUACACAGAAAUGACACGCCACUAAUAAUAA
This is a long non-coding RNA of Pieris brassicae (large cabbage white), 678 nucleotides long. RefSeq lists it as uncharacterized. The transcript has 3 exons. The record is from RefSeq and is a predicted model, not a curated record. NCBI's taxonomy places the organism in Eukaryota, Metazoa, Arthropoda, Insecta, Lepidoptera, Pieridae.